This 254-nucleotide ribosomal RNA is filed under the name Priestia megaterium. RNAcentral describes it as "partial 16S ribosomal RNA". It matches the Rfam family "Bacterial small subunit ribosomal RNA", at positions 96 to 343 of the family's 1533-position model. The record is from RNAcentral. Lineage: Bacteria; Bacillati; Bacillota; Bacilli; Caryophanales; Bacillaceae.
CGGCGGACGGGUGAGUAACACGUGGGCAACCUGCCUGUAAGACUGGGAUAACUUCGGGAAACCGAAGCUAAUACCGGAUAGGAUCUUCUCCUUCAUGGGAGAUGAUUGAAAGAUGGUUUCGGCUAUCACUUACAGAUGGGCCCGCGGUGCAUUAGCUAGUUGGUGAGGUAACGGCUCACCAAGGCAACGAUGCAUAGCCGACCUGAGAGGGUGAUCGGCCACACUGGGACUGAGACACGGCCCAGACUCCUACG